GGCCUCUUUGCUACUGCUAAAGGAUGAGCUUGCGGACUAUCAGCUAGUUGGUGAGGUAAAGGCUCACCAAGGCUAUGACGGUUAGCCGGCCUGAGAGGGUGAACGGCCAGACUGGAACUUAGACACGGUCCAGACUCCUACGGGAGGCAGCAGUGAGGAAUAUUGCGCAAUGGGCGAAAGCCUGACGCAGCGACGCCGCGUGGAGGAUGAAGGUUUUCGGAUCGUAAACUCCUGUUAAGUGGGAAGAAAAGUCUGUGGUUAAUACCCGCAGAAAAUGACGGUACCAUUAUAGAAAGCACCGGCUAACUGCGUG
Molecule: ribosomal RNA, 313 nt
Filed under: uncultured bacterium
Lineage: Bacteria
Description: bacterial SSU rRNA
Rfam family: Bacterial small subunit ribosomal RNA
Source: RNAcentral